Molecule: unclassified non-coding RNA, 229 nt
Filed under: plant metagenome
Description: partial contains small subunit ribosomal RNA, internal transcribed spacer 1, and 5.8S ribosomal RNA
Source: RNAcentral
UCUCCGUUGGUGAACCUGCGGAGGGAUCAUUACAGAGUUCUCGCCCUCGCGGGUAGAUCUCCCACCCACUGUUAUCGUUACUGUGUUGCUUUGGCGGGCCGCCGGGCCCCGCUCGGCCGCCGGCUCCGGCUGGCGCGCGCCCGCCAGAGGCCCAGCAAACUCUGAAUGUUAGUGUCGUCUGAGUACUAUAUAAUAGUUAAAACUUUCAACAACGGAUCUCUUGGUUCUG